This 2055-nucleotide ribosomal RNA is filed under the name Caenorhabditis elegans. Its description in RNAcentral is "eukaryotic LSU rRNA". It matches the Rfam family "Eukaryotic large subunit ribosomal RNA", at positions 1409 to 3401 of the family's 3401-position model. The record is from RNAcentral. Lineage: Eukaryota; Metazoa; Nematoda; Chromadorea; Rhabditida; Rhabditidae.
GCUAUGAGCGUGGGCUCGGCUGGAGCUUCCGUCAGUGCAGAUCGUAAUGGUAGUAGCAAAUAUUCAAGUUCGAUCCUUGAAGACUGAAGUGGAGAAGGGUUCCACGUGAACAGUAGUUGGAUGUGGGUCAGUCGAUCCUAAGGUACUGGCGAACGCCUUGUAUCAUCGGUGGCGAAAAGCUUGCUUUUGGUCCCCGUUUGUCGAAAGGGAAUAGGGUUAAUAUUCCCUAACUGAGAUGCAAAGAUUGUGUUCUUCGGAGCACAAGCGCGGUAACGCAUUCGAACUUGGUUAGUCGCUCAAAGACCGAGCUAGAGUUUUCUUCUCUAGUUAAGGAACGGACUCCCUGGAAUUGGUUCAGCCAGAGAUGGGGACGUUGUUUCCGAAAAGCACCGCGGUUUCUGUGGUGUCUCGUGCUCUUUGAACGGCCCUUAAAACACCAAGGGAGGCUAUUAAUUUGCACUCAAUCGUACCGAUAUCCGCAUUAGGUCUCCAAGGUGAACAGCCUCUAGUCGAUAGAAUAAUGUAGGUAAGGGAAGUCGGCAAACUAGAUCCGUAACUUCGGGAAAAGGAUUGGCUCCAGUGGUUGGAACGAUUGGCCAGUUGGUUGAUGCUUGUCCGGCGCUAUUCUGUCUGCUUGAUGCUUUCGGGCUGAUGGCGGACUAGUGAUAGUGCUUGCUUGUGGACGCUUUCUGGUGUGUGCUAGGACCUCGGUUCUAGUAUCCUGAUCGCUCAUCUAAACAACCGUACUGGAACCGGUACGGACUCAGGGAAUCCGACUGUCUAAUUAAAACAGAGGUGACAGAUGGUCCUUGCGGACGCUGACUGUCACUGAUUUCUGCCCAGUGCUCUGAAUGUUAAAUCGUAGUAAUUCGAGUAAGCGCGGGUAAACAGCGGGAGUAACUAUGACUCUCUUAAGGUAGCCAAAUGCCUCGUCAUUUAAUUGUUGACGCGCAUGAAUGGAUUAACGAGAUUCCUACUGUCCCUAACUACUAUCUAGCGAAACCACAGCCAAGGGAACGGGCUUGGCAAAAAUAGCGGGGAAAGAAGACCCUGUUGAGCUUGACUCUAGUUUGACAUUGUGAAGAGUCAUGAGAGGUGUAGCAUAGGUGGGAGACUUCGGUCGCCGGUGAAAUACCACCACUUUCAUCGACUCUUUACUUAUUCGGUUAAAAGAGAAUUGGCUUCACGGCCUUUUUUCGAAGCAUUAAGCGGAGCCAUUUUAUGGCACCGUGACUCUCCUCGAAGACAGUGUCAAGCGGGGAGUUUGACUGGGGCGGUACAUCUAUCAAAUCGUAACGUAGGUGUCCUAAGGCGAGCUCAGAGAGGACGGAAACCUCUCGUAGAGCAAAAGGGCAAAAGCUUGCUUGAUCUUGACUUUCAGUACGAGUACAGACCGCGAAAGCGUGGCCUAUCGAUCCUUUUAAUCCUGAUUGUUUCAGGUAAGAGGUGUCAGAAAAGUUACCACAGGGAUAACUGGCUUGUGGCAGCCAAGCGUCCAUAGCGACGUUGCUUUUUGAUCCUUCGAUGUCGGCUCUUCCUAUCAUUGCGAAGCAGAAUUCGCCAAGCGUUGGAUUGUUCACCCACUAAUAGGGAACGUGAGCUGGGUUUAGACCGUCGUGAGACAGGUUAGUUUUACCCUACUGUUGACUUGUUAUUGCGAAAGUAAUCCUGCUUAGUACGAGAGGAACAGCGGGUUCAAACAUUUGGUUCAUAGACUUGAUCGACAGAUCAAUGGUCUGAAGCUACCAUUUGAGAGAUUAUAACUGAACGCCUCUAAGUUAGAAUCUCGCCUUGUCAAGGCGAAAAUUUCUUGCUUCCCGGUGUCGGGAGGCAUCUCUAUCUCGUGGCAACACGAGAGCUUAUGCCCUAUGUAUGGCCUUGGCUUCGUAGUGAACUCUGCGAAGCUUGCCAACGCCAGAUCACUCUGGUUCAAUGUCGGGGCGCUAAAUCACUUGCAUACGACUUGGUCUCUUGGUCAAGGUGUUGUAUUCAGUAGAGCAGUCCUCUUAUACUGCGAUCUGUUGAGACUAUCCUUUGAUUGAGUUUUUUGUUUCU